AUACGUAAGGGGCGAGCGUUGUUCGGAAUUACUGGGCGUAAAGGGCCUGUAGGCGGACUGCUAAGUCAGAUGUGAAAGGUUACAGCUUAACUGUAAAAUUGCGUUUGAAACUGGUGGUCUAGAGUGUCGGAGAGGGUACUGGAAUUCCAGGUGUAGGGGUGAAAUCUAUAGAUAUCUGGAAGAACACCGGUGGCGAAGGCGGGUACCUGGCCGGACACUGACGCUGAGGGGCGAAAGCAUGGGUAGCAAACAGGAUUAGAUACCCUGGUAGUCCAUGCUAUAAACGUUGUAUACUAGACGUCAGAGGUAUCGAUCCCUCUGGUGUCGGAGCUAACGUGAUAAGUAUACCGCCUGGGGAGUAUGCCGGCAACGGUGAA
This 377-nucleotide ribosomal RNA is filed under the name uncultured bacterium. RNAcentral describes it as "bacterial SSU rRNA". It matches the Rfam family "Bacterial small subunit ribosomal RNA", at positions 523 to 898 of the family's 1533-position model. The record is from RNAcentral.